UACAGAGGUCCCGAGCGUUAUUCGGAAUUAUUGGGCGUAAAGGGCGCGUAGGCGGCCAUGCGUGUCUUCCGUGAAAUCCCUCGGCUUAACUGAGGACGUGCGGAAGAAACUGCAAGGCUCGAGUCCGGGAGAGGGGGGUGGAAUUCCCAGUGUAGCGGUGAAAUGCGUAGAUAUCGAGAGGAACACCUGCGGCGAAGGCGGGUUGCUGGGCUGACACUGACGCUGAAGCGCGAAAGCUAGGGGAGCGAACGGG
RNAcentral lists this ribosomal RNA (253 nucleotides) under uncultured bacterium. Its description in RNAcentral is "partial 16S ribosomal RNA". It matches the Rfam family "Bacterial small subunit ribosomal RNA", at positions 524 to 776 of the family's 1533-position model. The record is from RNAcentral.